Arachis ipaensis is the source of this 188-nucleotide non-coding RNA. The record is from RefSeq and is a predicted model, not a curated record. Lineage: Eukaryota; Viridiplantae; Streptophyta; Magnoliopsida; Fabales; Fabaceae.
GCCUGCCGAAGAUGAUCCCAUUACGGCUCGCCUUUAGGUGUCCUCCUCAGGAUAGCGUCAUUUAAAGAACGACGGUCAGCACAAGGGAAAAAAAAUGGGGGGAGCCUGCCGAAGAAGAGGCCAUUACGGCUCGCCUUUAGAUGUCCUCCUCGGGAUAGCAUCAUUUAAAGAACGAGGGUCAGCACAAC